Molecule: unclassified non-coding RNA, 374 nt
Filed under: soil metagenome
Description: partial contains 5.8S ribosomal RNA, internal transcribed spacer 2, and large subunit ribosomal RNA
Rfam family: 5.8S ribosomal RNA (bases 1-120)
Source: RNAcentral
GAUGAAGAACGCAGCGAAAUGCGAUAAGUAAUGUGAAUUGCAGAAUUCAGUGAAUCAUCGAAUCUUUGAACGCAUCUUGCGCUCCUUGGUAUUCUGAGGAGCAUGCCUGUUUGAGUGUCAUUAAAUUCUCAACUACACUGACUUUGAAUUGGUGUGGCUUGGAUUUGGGGGGAAAAUUGUUGUGGGCUUUUUGUAUAGUCUGCUCCCCUGAAAUUGAUUAGCGGUACCUUUGUGGAACUGUCUACAGGUGUGAUAAUUAUCUACAUCUUAGACAUCUGCUGGAAUGCUGCUUUCUAAACCUUACUUGUAUUGACAAUCUUGACCUCAAAUCAGGUAGGACUACCCGCUGAACUUAAGCAUAUCAAUGCGGAGGA